UCCGAGUUGACCCCGGCAGUCUCUCUAGAGUCCCCACCAUUACGUGCUGGCAACUAAAGACGGGGGUUGCGCUCGUUGCGGAACUUAAUCCAACACCUCACGGCACGAGCUGACGACAGCCAUGCAACACCUGUCAGGGGCCCUUACGGACCCUACAUCUCUGUGGGUUUUCCCCUGAUGUCAAGCCCAGGUAAGGUUCUUCGCGUUGCAUCGAAUUAAGCCACAUGCUCCGCCGCUUGUGCGGGCCCCCGUCAGUUCCUUUGAGUUUUAGCCUUGCGGCCGUACUCCCCAGGCGGGGUGCUUAAUGCGUUAGCUUCGGCACGGAACGGGUUGAAGACCGCCCCACACCUAGCACCCAACGUUUACGGCUGGGACUAC
RNAcentral lists this unclassified non-coding RNA (378 nucleotides) under uncultured Actinomycetes bacterium. RNAcentral's name for it is "uncultured actinobacterium contains 16S-23S intergenic spacer region". Lineage: Bacteria; Bacillati; Actinomycetota; Actinomycetes. The record is from RNAcentral.